This is a non-coding RNA of Chlorocebus sabaeus (green monkey), 148 nucleotides long. The record is from RefSeq and is a predicted model, not a curated record. NCBI's taxonomy places the organism in Eukaryota, Metazoa, Chordata, Mammalia, Primates, Cercopithecidae.
AGUUUUGCACAGUGGCAGUAUCGUAGCCAGUGAGCUUUACCCGAGGCGCGAAUAUUGCUAGUUAAAUAUUUAUAAAAACCUUUCGAGCAGCGCCUGAACAAGAAUAGGUUAAGAGGAGCUCCGGUAGUCUUGAGUUUGGGCUUGUCCC